This 66-nucleotide transfer RNA is filed under the name Micropygomyia chassigneti. RNAcentral's name for it is "tRNA-Arg". Lineage: Eukaryota; Metazoa; Arthropoda; Insecta; Diptera; Psychodidae. The record is from RNAcentral.
AUAUAUAAAGCAAUAUUGCAGUUAAUUUCGACUUAAAAGAAAGAUUAUAUCUAUAAUCUAUAUAUA